GAUGGGCUUGGAGUUGCUGGCUGGCUUGUUGGAGGAAUUGAAGCAGAAGCAACAAUGCUUGGUCAGCCUAUGAGCUUGGUGUUGCCUGGUGUUGUUGGAUUCAAGUUGUCUGGAAAAUUGCGUGAUGGUGUCACAGCCACUGACUUGGUUUUGACUGUGACCCAAAUGUUGAGGAAGCAUGGUGCUGUUGGCAAGUUUGUUGAGUUUUAUGGUGAUGGAAUGGGUGAAUUGUCAGUGGCUGAUAGGGCCACUAUUGCAAAUAUGUCUCCUGAAUAUGGAGCAACCAUGGGUUUCUUUCCUGUAGAUCAUGCUACCUUGCAGUAUCUCAAAUUAACUGGAAGAAGUGAAGAGACUGUGGCAAUGGUACAAGCAUAUUUGCGUGCAAACAGAAUGUUUGUUGACUACAAUGAGCCUCAACAAGAGAGAGCGUACUCAUCUUACCUGCAAUUGGACCUAGCAGAUGUUGAACCCUGUGUUUCAGGUCCAAAGAGGCCUCAUGAUCGAGUUCCAGUGAAAGAAAUGAAGGCUGAUUGGCAUGCAUGUCUUGAUAGCAAAGUUGGAUUCAAGGGCUUUGGUGUACCUAAAGCGGCAAAAUUUUCAUUCCAUGGACAGCCUGCUGAACUUAAGCACGGCAGUGUUGUCAUUGCGGCUAUUACAAUUUGUACAAACACAUCAAACCCUAGUGUUAUGCUUGGAGCUGGUCUUGUUGCAAAAAAUGCUUGUGAUCUUGGCUUGCGAUCUUGGCUUGCAGGUUAAGCCAUGGAUUAAAACUAGUCUUGCUCCGGGUUCUGGAGUUGUUGCAAAAUAUCUACUCAAGAGUGGCCUGCAACAGUACUUGAAUCAGCAGGGCUUUCACAUUGUUGGUUAUGGUUGUACGACUUGUAUUGGGAAUUCUGGAGAACUUGAUCAAUCUGUUGCUUCUGCAAUUUCAGAUAAUGAAAUUAUUGCUGCAGCUGUGCUUUCUGGAAAUCGGAACUUUGAAGGCCGUGUCCAUCCACUUACAAGAGCUAACUACCUUGCUUCACCUCCAUUAGUGGUUGCCGAUGCACUAGCUGGCACGUUGACAUAGACUUUGAGAUGGAGCCAAUUGGAAGAGGGAAGGAUGGAAAUAAUGUAUACUUCAAGGAUAUUUGGCCUAGUAAUGACGAAAUAACAGAGGUUGUACAAUCUAACGUGUUGCCUGAUAUGUUCUAAAGCACUUAUGAGGCUAUCACAAAGGGCAAUCCCAUGUGGAAUCAGCUAACUGUAUCAGCUAAAACUUCAUACUCAUGGGACCCUAGCUCCACCUAUAUUCAUGAGCCUCCAUACUUCAAGAACAUGACCCUGAAUCCUCCUGGAGCACAUGGAGUGAAGGAUGCUUACUGCUUGCUGAACUUUGGCGAUAGUAUCACAACAGAUCACAUUUCACCAGCAGGAAGUAUCCACAAGGACAGUCCUGCUGCCAAGUACCUCCUUGAGAGAGGGGUGGAUCGCAAGGACUUUAACUCCUAUGGAAGUCGACGUGGAAAUGAUGAAGUGAUGGCUAGGGGAACUUUUGCUAAUAUUCGCCUUGUUAACAAACUUUUGAAUGGGGAAGUAGGACCACAGACGGUACAUAUUCCUACAGGAGAGAAACUCUAUGUAUUUGAUGCAGCAACGAGGUACAAGACUGCUGGACAUGACACCAUUAUUUUGGCUGGAGCUGAGUAUGGAAGUGGAAGCUCCAGAGAUUGGGCUGCCAAGGGUCCAAUGCUAUUGGGUGUGAAAGCAGUGAUAGCAAAGAGCUUUGAGCGAAUUCAUCGCAGUAAUUUGGUGGGCAUGGGUAUUAUUCCGUUAUGUUUUAAGCCCGGUGAGGAUGCUGAGACACUUGGAUUGACUGGUCAUGAACGCUAUAGCAUCGAACUUCCAAGCAGUGUGAGCGAAAUUAGACCUGGUCAAGAUGUCACGGUUGUGACAGACAAUGGCAAGUCAUUCACAUGUACUUUACGUUUUGAUACUGAGGUGGAACUGGCAUAUUUUGAUCAUGGAGGCAUUUUGCAAUAUGUCAUUCGGAACCUGAUUUAUGCAAAACAAUGAAAAAGCAACAGCUCAAUUAUCAAUAAGGUCAGUUUGCAGCUGCGAAGCAAACAGGUAAUAAAAGAUUUGGCAACAAUGCAUGAGAUGUCCUUUUUGUUGCAGAGCCCUAUCAUUUUAUGAAUAAAUAAAGAAGUGAAAAAGGGAUUAUUCGAGGGUUGACAGAUAUUAAUGCCAAAAUCCAGUUCACCAUAGAUAUUUGGCGUUAAACGUUUGAUUUUUGGAUUAAAGAGAAAAACUAUCCAGUGACUCGUAUUGUUUGUUUAGAAAAAGUGUAAUUGAACCGAUGAUUUGGUAGCUUAAAUUUUUAUAAAAUGCUGCUUCAAAGCUGGUUACUAUUGCUGUAUGGUAUUUUCUUAGAAAGAUGGUGUGGAUUUGUCAUCCGAUACGUACUCUUAAACGGCUAUCAAGAUGUUCUUUUGAAUUUCUUGGAUUCCUGGUCUAGUAGCAUCAUUGAUUUCCUGUGUCAUUUUGAAUUCUUAUU
Molecule: unclassified non-coding RNA, 2536 nt
Filed under: Hevea brasiliensis (rubber tree)
Lineage: Eukaryota; Viridiplantae; Streptophyta; Magnoliopsida; Malpighiales; Euphorbiaceae
Source: RNAcentral